CUCCGGUGAUGGCUGAUACAGGGAGGCAGUGGAGGGGAAACCCUUCUUGAUACUGGCCUUGUCAGAACCUCCCCGGAACUAAAAAUGCAGAGGAACUGGGGACAGUAAAGAAGCACUGGCCCUUGGGGUCCUUGGGUGGUUGUCAACCGCAGGGGCCUGUGAGAGCCCUGUGGCACCGCCAUUCUCAUGGACCCUCAACGCCAGUGCCUGCGGCUGCUCUGUUUCCCAGACACACC
Molecule: long non-coding RNA, 236 nt
Organism: Myotis brandtii (Brandt's bat)
Lineage: Eukaryota; Metazoa; Chordata; Mammalia; Chiroptera; Vespertilionidae
Exons: 2
Source: RefSeq, a predicted model, not a curated record